GACAGAGGGUGCAAACGUUGUUCGGAAUUACUGGGCGUAAAGCGCGUGUAGGCGGCUAUGCAAGUCGGAUGUGAAAGCCCUCGACUCAACCGGGGAAGUGCACCCGAAACUGCAAAGCUAGAGUCUCGGAGAGGAUCGUGGAAUUCUCGGUGUAGAGGUGAAAUUCGUAGAUAUCGAGAGGAACACCGAUGGCGAAGGCGGCGAUCUGGACGAUGACUGACGCUGAGACGCGAAAGCGUGGGAAGCAAACAGG
Molecule: ribosomal RNA, 253 nt
Filed under: uncultured bacterium
Lineage: Bacteria
Description: partial 16S ribosomal RNA
Rfam family: Bacterial small subunit ribosomal RNA
Source: RNAcentral